AGCCUCCUGGUAUUUAACACAGCUGUGUUCUUACACUGACUGUGUAAAAAGAGAAAGAAAGAAACCUAUCCCCUGUGCAUUUCAGCCCAGGCCCCAUGCUUCGUCUGGAUUGUGAAUAGGGAAACAUGG
Molecule: small nucleolar RNA, 129 nt
Organism: Saimiri boliviensis boliviensis (Bolivian squirrel monkey)
Lineage: Eukaryota; Metazoa; Chordata; Mammalia; Primates; Cebidae
Source: Ensembl